RNAcentral lists this ribosomal RNA (430 nucleotides) under Ureibacillus sp. Its description in RNAcentral is "bacterial SSU rRNA". It matches the Rfam family "Bacterial small subunit ribosomal RNA", at positions 856 to 1286 of the family's 1533-position model. The record is from RNAcentral. Lineage: Bacteria; Bacillati; Bacillota; Bacilli; Caryophanales; Caryophanaceae.
CGCAUUAAGCACUCCGCCUGGGGAGUACGGUCGCAAGACUGAAACUCAAAGGAAUUGACGGGGGCCCGCACAAGCGGUGGAGCAUGUGGUUUAAUUCGAAGCAACGCGAAGAACCUUACCAGGUCUUGACAUCCCGCUGACCGCCAUGGAGACAUGGCUUUCCCUUCGGGGACAGCGGUGACAGGUGGUGCAUGGUNGUCGUCAGCUCGUGUCGUGAGAUGUUGGGUUAAGUCCCGCAACGAGCGCAACCCUUGUCNUUAGUUGCCAUCAUUCAGUUGGGCACUCUAAGGAGACUGCCGUACAAAUACGGAGGAAGGUGGGGAUGACGUCAAAUCAUCAUGCCCCUUAUGACCUGGGCUACACACGUGCUACAAUGGGUGGUACAAAGGGCAGCAAACCCGCGAGGGGGAGCGAAUCCCAAAAAGCCACU